Molecule: long non-coding RNA, 878 nt
Organism: Galendromus occidentalis (western predatory mite)
Lineage: Eukaryota; Metazoa; Arthropoda; Arachnida; Mesostigmata; Phytoseiidae
Exons: 3
Source: RefSeq, a predicted model, not a curated record
CCAACGUUCCAGAGAUCGCAGCGGCUACGGCAACUGCGAGAGACGACGGCGACGCUUUAUCCACCAUAAUAACAAAUCCUCUCCAGGACCAACAGGUGAAUUGUGUGAACGGUGGGACGAGCCUAGGGUUGGUAGGAAGUCGCCGGCUCCACGAUUUGUGUCUCUGCACGCCCAACAUUCUCAAUCGAGCGAAAAUCAAGCGAUAUGAGCGAUUCGCCCGCAACAUCUGAAAUCGAGAUACCCGGGAGCCAAUGCAGGGCUGGGAGUCAUUCAAGAGGACCCUCAACGCCACCGAAUACUCCGCUAUCCACCUCUCUGAACCCGAACCUCAUUUCCAAAUCCUGGUUCACGGAGCAAUUCCAUCGGCAGAUGAUGAUCCACACGAAGCCCGGUCUCGAUGAUACCAACGAGACUGCCCAAUCGAGCGAUAAGAGUGAGAGCGUGGAUGGAACGACUUGAAGAGGGAAGAAUCAUCAAACAGUACUAGGAUCUUCCAAUUCCUCGCCUUGCAAAGUCGAACAGGCUCGAUUGUCAGACUUGAAGACGCCGAACACAGAUUCCGAUCGAGCAAUACGGAGAUGAGCGUUAGAAAAUUCUCUGGUUUCGCGCUGCUCCGAUUCUCAGGAGCUCUGAGCUCCUAUGAAGGGCUCAGGGCUCCCUUGAGGACUGAGAUCGCUUUCAGUGUCCAUUUGAAGAUACAUAUGUAAAUACGUUUCGCACGAACCUCGGGAUGAAGAUCGAAACUAAUUCUCGUCUUGGGAUAGGAAGCGGUUCUGUGCCAAUGUUCAGGAGUCAGUGCUGUGGACGUCGAGGUUAGAUGGAGGAUUCAACGACAUUCAGAGUCGCUCCUGAUAGAAAUAUACAUAAAACAUAAUAUA